Molecule: ribosomal RNA, 660 nt
Filed under: bacterium 19-L049660-122-017-C03
Lineage: Bacteria
Description: bacterial SSU rRNA
Rfam family: Bacterial small subunit ribosomal RNA
Source: RNAcentral
GUCGAACGGUAACAGGUCUUCGGAUGCUGACGAGUGGCGAACGGGUGAGUAAUACAUCGGAACGUGCCCGAUCGUGGGGGAUAACGGAGCGAAAGCUUUGCUAAUACCGCAUACGAUCUACGGAUGAAAGCAGGGGACCGCAAGGCCUUGCGCGGACGGAGCGGCCGAUGGCAGAUUAGGUAGUUGGUGGGAUAAAAGCUUACCAAGCCGACGAUCUGUAGCUGGUCUGAGAGGACGACCAGCCACACUGGGACUGAGACACGGCCCAGACUCCUACGGGAGGCAGCAGUGGGGAAUUUUGGACAAUGGGCGAAAGCCUGAUCCAGCCAUGCCGCGUGCAGGAUGAAGGCCUUCGGGUUGUAAACUGCUUUUGUACGGAACGAAAAGACUCUUUCUAAUAAAGAGGGUCCAUGACGGUACCGUAAGAAUAAGCACCGGCUAACUACGUGCCAGCAGCCGCGGUAAUACGUAGGGUGCAAGCGUUAAUCGGAAUUACUGGGCGUAAAGCGUGCGCAGGCGGUUAUGUAAGACAGAUGUGAAAUCCCCGGGCUCAACCUGGGAACUGCAUUUGUGACUGCAUAGCUAGAGUACGGUAGAGGGGGAUGGAAUUCCGCGUGUAGCAGUGAAAUGCGUAGAUAUGCGGAGGAACACCGAUGGCGA